AUUCAACAAUAGGGGAAAAGACAGAGACAAUGGGAAAUUGUGCUUCCGAUGGGGUGGGGACUGAGAAGGAAAGGACAGACAGACAGACAGACAGGGGGUUGUACAGAAGAGGUCCGGUUUCUUGAAGCAGCUGGAAGUCCUGGAUAGUUCCCACCUGAAAGUCUGUUUGCAAAGGCAAUGCGCACUCAGGCACCAGAGGGCAGAGGACAGAAGCUUUUCCUCAAAGGUGCAAAAGGAGCAACUGUGUUGAACAGGGGCUCAAGUUCCAGGGUUUUAAGGUGCUUGGAACUCCCAGGAGCCUGGCAAACCUUCAUCCAGAACCUCUUCCUCAAGCAAGACAAAAAGCUGCUAAGCACUGCUCCCUCCGUCUCUGUGAAGAGACCAGCUUCUAACAGACGGUGCCGGGCUGACCCCCCAUCAUGCCAGGCUGGCUCACCCUCCCCACACUCUGCCGCUUCCUUCUUUGGGCCUUCACCAUCUUCCACAAAGCCCAAGGAGACCCAGGUAAGACCCCAGCCCAGGCCAGAAUCUGGGGGAGGCUUGGGGAGACUGCAAGGGUGGGGAAAGGGGAAAGGGCAGUUGUUGCAGGUACCCAGGGACUGAAAGUCAUUGCUGAGAAGGCAAUGGAGGAGAGGGUUGGGGGGCUCUGGAGAAAGCAUUUGGGGAGCAGGGUCUGAUGGGCACUUGGGGCAGUGAGGAUUGGGGGUUCCUGCCACUGU
Molecule: unclassified non-coding RNA, 719 nt
Filed under: Homo sapiens (human)
Lineage: Eukaryota; Metazoa; Chordata; Mammalia; Primates; Hominidae
Description: hyaluronan and proteoglycan link protein 2 (ENSG00000291756.1)
Source: RNAcentral